This 335-nucleotide small RNA is filed under the name Pongo abelii (Sumatran orangutan). Lineage: Eukaryota; Metazoa; Chordata; Mammalia; Primates; Hominidae. The record is from RNAcentral.
GCCGGGCGUGAUGGCGGUCACCUGUAAUCCCAGCUACUAGGGAGGCUGAGGGAGGGGAAUUGCUAGGCCCCGGGAGGUAGAGGUUGCAGUGAGCCAAGAAUGUGCCACUGCACUCCAGCCUGGGUGACAGAGAGACACUCCAUCUCAAUCAAUCAAUCAAUCAAUCAAUAUUAAAAAAAAAAAAAAAGACUGGCUGGAUUAUAAAUUUCUUUCUUUUUUCUUUUUUUUUUUUUUGAGACAGAGUCUCCUCGCUCUGUCGCCAGGCUGGAGUGCAAUAGUGCGAUCUUGGCUCACUGCAACCUCUACCUCCUGGGUUCAAGCGAUUCCCCGCCUCA